CCAAUUUUUUUCAGGUUGACCUCGGAUCAGGUAGGGAUACCCGSUGAACUUAA
This 53-nucleotide ribosomal RNA is filed under the name Pseudogymnoascus roseus. Its description in RNAcentral is "partial 28S ribosomal RNA". Lineage: Eukaryota; Fungi; Ascomycota; Leotiomycetes; Thelebolales; Thelebolaceae. The record is from RNAcentral.